GGAGAACUUGGCUAGAGCUGUGUGAUUAGGGUAAUGGCAGCCAUGAGACGAUCGAGGAAGUGGACGCAAGAUUCAGAGUUGAAGAAGUGAAGACAGUAGGCAAUUCGCUGGAGGAUGUCAACGGGAAGAAAGAAUGGGGAUCAUGACACGAGCUGAAGUCGGACGUCCGAUCCACUGAGCCACCCAGGCGCCCCGCAAAGGUGUUUUGGAUACAGUUACUUUACUACCGAGUGCCACUCUACUUUCUAACAAGGAGGACCAAAGGGACCUUGCCUUUGAAGAGGCAUUACUCCCGGUGUAGCCUUUGGAUCACACAGCCAAUACAUCACUGCUUUAGAAGGACUGUAGGAAGGCUAAGGACAGAAUUCCUCACGUUGCUGGAAAACUAGAAAGGACAACCAGGACAGUUGAAGGGAACAGGAGGGAGCAGAAGCAGAGUCUGACCACCACUUUUAACUCUAUGUGACCCUGGGUCCUUCAAGAGACGUCUCUCCCUGACAGUGUGAAGAUGGCCGGUCUCAUGGGUGCUGCAGGGAACGCUUUGGGAAUGACUUGAGAGGGUGUCUGCUAAGGUCCCUCCUGAUUCAAAGAUCUUCUAUCUCUGAAUAGAGCAAGAUGUCCAUACUAUGAAUGGUUUCAAUCGAAAAUCCGUUUCUGUAUAAAAAAUGCAAGAUCAGACAAUGUGGUGAAACCACAGCCAUGGGGCUCAUAGACUAACAGUUCUGCACUGUUUCUGGAAGUGUCAGCUGAGCUCUCUUUAAAUGGCACAACCAAGCCGCCAGGUUCUAAUCGUCUCUAAUUGGUGAUCUUGUGAACUGCAACUUCCCUUACCACUAAAAGGGCUGACGAUAUCAUUCCUCUAAUAAGAAACAUGUUAAAAGGCAAAAUAAUA
This is a long non-coding RNA of Neofelis nebulosa (Clouded leopard), 892 nucleotides long. RefSeq lists it as uncharacterized. Lineage: Eukaryota; Metazoa; Chordata; Mammalia; Carnivora; Felidae. The transcript is spliced from 5 exons. The record is from RefSeq and is a predicted model, not a curated record.